Molecule: long non-coding RNA, 988 nt
Organism: Cyprinodon tularosa
Lineage: Eukaryota; Metazoa; Chordata; Actinopteri; Cyprinodontiformes; Cyprinodontidae
Exons: 5
Source: RefSeq, a predicted model, not a curated record
GGAGGUUUGGUUGAAUGGGAAAUAUCUGCUUCACUGACAGAUGAGCCUCUGAUUGUUUAAGGGUGAACUAUCCAGUUUAUUCAGUUGAAUUUCUGCCUAGACUUCAUUAGUCGGACCUCUUAUUGCUUACAGUUUUACACUAAACUGAACCCUGAAGUCAGGUUUUCAGCAGUACGAGUUGGAUCAGUCUCAGGUAACAAGACAUCAGAGUUUAAUCCUACAAUCAUGGAAGACCUAUGUAAAGCCAUCAUUGCAGCAGCUGCAGUAGGAGGUACUGUGGUUCUGACUCCUGCUGUUCUGACGGGAAUAGGCUUUGGUGCAACUGGAAUAGUAGCAGGCUCCAUAGCUGCUCAGCUGAUAUCAAUUUCUGGAGCUUUCUGGUUGUUAGAACUCUUCUAUUCUAUAGGUGCCACUGUAAUUGCAUGGAUUGCUAAAAUGCUAUGGGGCCUGUUCGGAUGGAAUAUAGCAAAUCUGAUAUCAUCUCUCUGCAAUAUAACUGUUGUGUAUAAAGACAUCGAACCAUAGAACUGAUGUAAAACUGAUGACCAUUGAUCUAUAAAGUCUCCAAUGCUCUUCUGACUUUCAAUAGAUGUUUCAUUAUCUUCCUUAGCAAACCACUAUGAGUAGAUGAUGCAUUUAGACUAUUUUAGACUAAAGAUUUUAUUUCAAAGUCAUUUGCAUUAUAUUAAACAUUUGUUAUUUUGUGCAACUACACAUUUGGGUGUUUCUUUUAAACUUCAGUAAAAUAUAUUGUACUGAUGAGCCUUCAGGGUUUUUAUUAAGACAAGAGAGAUGCUUUUACCAGGGUGUCCUAACAAUGAUGCAAAGUGGUCAAAUGUGAGAUGAAAUCUACGGUUUGUCUUUUAGUUACCCUAAUAAACAGACUCUUCCUCUUCCUGUGGAUCAAUUUAAAGAAAUCUGUAACUGUUCUGACCACCUUAAAGGAAUAAAUAUUUGAUCUGGGUGAAUAAAGUAAUUUAAUCAUCAA